GUCCUACGGGAGGCAGCAGUGAGGAAUAUUGGUCAAUGGGCUUACGCCUGUACCAGCCAAGUCGCGUGAGGGAAGACUGCCCUAUGGGUUGUAAACCUCUUUUGUCAGGGAGCAACGCCGGCUACGUGUAGCCGGACUGAGAGUACCUGAAGAAAAAGCAUCGGCUAACUCCGUGCCAGCAGCCGCGGUAAUACGGAGGAUGCGAGCGUUAUCCGGAUUUAUUGGGUUUAAAGGGUGCGUAGGCGGAUCGUUAAGUCAGUGGUCAAAUUGAGGGGCUCAACCCCUUCCCGCCAUUGAAAUUGGCG
RNAcentral lists this ribosomal RNA (305 nucleotides) under uncultured bacterium. Its description in RNAcentral is "bacterial SSU rRNA". It matches the Rfam family "Bacterial small subunit ribosomal RNA", at positions 335 to 638 of the family's 1533-position model. The record is from RNAcentral.